Acanthosepion pharaonis is the source of this 112-nucleotide non-coding RNA. The record is from the annotation of a GenBank genome assembly. Lineage: Eukaryota; Metazoa; Mollusca; Cephalopoda; Sepiida; Sepiidae.
UUACGGCCAUAUCCCGUUAAAACACCGGUUUUCGUACGAUCACCGAAGUUAAGCAAUAUCAUGCCUGGUCUGUACCUAGAUAGGUGACAGCUUAGGAAUACCAAUUGCUGUA